Molecule: ribosomal RNA, 382 nt
Filed under: Burkholderia sp. CAR10
Lineage: Bacteria; Pseudomonadati; Pseudomonadota; Betaproteobacteria; Burkholderiales; Burkholderiaceae
Description: bacterial SSU rRNA
Rfam family: Bacterial small subunit ribosomal RNA
Source: RNAcentral
CCUUACCUACCCUUGACAUGUACGGAAUCCUGCUGAGAGGCGGGAGUGCCCGAAAGGGAGCCGUAACACAGGUGCUGCAUGGCUGUCGUCAGCUCGUGUCGUGAGAUGUUGGGUUAAGUCCCGCAACGAGCGCAACCCUUGUCCCUAGUUGCUACGCAAGAGCACUCCAGGGAGACUGCCGGUGACAAACCGGAGGAAGGUGGGGAUGACGUCAAGUCCUCAUGGCCCUUAUGGGUAGGGCUUCACACGUCAUACAAUGGUCGGAACAGAGGGUUGCCAAGCCGCGAGGUGGAGCCAAUCCCAGAAAACCGAUCGUAGUCCGGAUCGCAGUCUGCAACUCGACUGCGUGAAGCUGGAAUCGCUAGUAAUCGCGGAUCAGCAU